GCGUUGUCCGGAAUCACUGGGCGUAAAGAGCGCGUAGGCGGUCUUGUACAUCCGUCGUGAAAGCUCUCGGCUCAACCGAGAGAGGCCGGCGGAGAUGGCGAGACUAGAGGGCGGUAGAGGCAGGUAGAAGUCCCGAAGGAGUGGUGAAAUGCGUAGAUAUCGGGAGGAAUACCAGUGGCGAAGGCGGCCUGCUGGGCCGUUCCUGACGCUGAGGCGCGAAAGCUAG
This 226-nucleotide ribosomal RNA is filed under the name uncultured bacterium. Its description in RNAcentral is "partial 16S ribosomal RNA". It matches the Rfam family "Bacterial small subunit ribosomal RNA", at positions 538 to 763 of the family's 1533-position model. The record is from RNAcentral.